RNAcentral lists this long non-coding RNA (2138 nucleotides) under Olea europaea (common olive). RNAcentral's name for it is "long non-coding RNA (OEUR_LNC004799)". The record is from RNAcentral. Lineage: Eukaryota; Viridiplantae; Streptophyta; Magnoliopsida; Lamiales; Oleaceae.
UGGCAACAUCAGGAGGCAUCUGCCCUGGAAACAUAUUAAUCAGGGGAGCAAAUUCUGGAUCUUGUCGAAAUCCCAUCUUGGCAGCCAGCUCCUGUGCACGUUUUACGGCUUCAUAUUUUUGCGUUGUAAGCCCAGUGAGAUGAGGUAAGCCACUUGGUGGUGGGUUAGCAGAAGCAGAAGCAGAAGCAACAGCCGGUAAAGUAGUAGUGCUUGGAUUUAGUCCAGUAGAAACACCUGGUGCAGUUGCUGAAGCAGCAGGCGUUGACAUUAUCCCUUUACUGGAGGGUGGGACUUUAACAGCUUCCUUUUGACCCAUUUGUGGAGUACCCUCUCUUGUUGAUCCAGCAGUUUUGUUCAACUACAAUGGGGAAAAGUGACGAGUAGAUAUGCAUACAAGUGAAAAUUUAUCAUAACAUAUCACCAUAUCUUGCUCAGCCAGCAACUACGUUCACCAACGUAACAAUUAAAAAAAUAGGAAAGAUGCCCAACAGCUAACUAUCUUAGCAGCAACUUACCAAAGGAAUCCUCUUCAUCUUUUCCGCAAGCUCCUUCUGCAUUUGUAAAGCUUUCUUAGCUUUUGUUAAAGCAUCAAGGGAUAAGCCCCCACUCUUGCCAGCAUCUGAAGCUGUCCCAUCUGUACUCAAUUUAUCAGGAAGCUCAUGAGAUCUGCUAAUAUUAACUCCCUUAUUUUCAUUUCUAGUAUAAAUGGAAGACACCUUGGUAGCAGAAGAAUGACUGUGAUCCCCAGAAGUGCCAUGUACCAUGCUGGAUGGCAUAGCAAGCAGUCCAGUCACAUCACCCUGGGAGCACAUAAAUGACAAAUUUUUAAUCCACCCAAUCAAUGAAAUGUAGAAAAUGAAAAAGUUAGGAGACAUUUCGGAUAAAACUUGAGAUUAUUAGCAUUUCAAGGCAAACAUUUCACAUCAAAAAGCUGCAGCACUCAUUUCAGGAUCUACCCUCGAACUAAAACUCAAAAGUAGGACCCAAGAAAGGAGAAUAGUAACUCAGUUCAAAGUAGUCACACUCAUUACAAGUGCAUCUAAGGGAAUUGGCCGAAUAGUCGUUACAUAGAAGGCUUUUGUACAGAUAAGCAAUUAUUCUGCUGAAAAGAGAACUCAACGGACAAAUGCCACCUUCAAAUUUAGAGAAUACCAGCCACAGAAAAAGAUACCAAGAACAUACAGUUACAAUCAUCCAAAAAUAAAGUAUAGACGAAAUACGUGAAAGUAAUAUUGAGAAACAAAAGUAUUCAUGACCAACUAGAAGUGGGCAAAACAAUCAAGAAUCGCGUGCACGCACACUGAAUGCACUACCAAACCAAGAACAAAUAUGUACUGUAUUCCAAGUUCUAACUUAUGAAGAGUUAAUAAUCAGUGAGAGCACUUGAUAGCCAUAUCGCAAUUAAUAAAUGAUUUAGGGUGAAAAUAAUGAGAUUCCAAAAUGAAGCUAAAUUUAAAUUUAUUACUUCUCUUCAGAACAUGAUGAUCUAUGAAGCACUGACAUGGACGCCCGGUCGUGUCAUUUUCAACAUGGACACUCUGUCACCCAAAUUUUCAAAACAAAGUAGGACACCACAUGAAAGGGAUACGCUGAAUAAAAUAAUGUUUAAAUAUUUUAAAUUAUUAAUUUUUGAUACUUUAAUGAAGGAACACUUUUUUAGUUUGUUAGUCUUUAAAAUUAGGUCUUUUCGUAAGAAAUGAAGGGAAAAAACCAAUUACGGAAGCAUAUACCUUUAGGGUGCUCAGGUUGUUCACUUUAGGAACAUUCACCACGUUGCCGUGCUCAUCAAUUUCCCGGCCUAGUGCAUCCAAGCGAAGAACAGGAGCUUUGGCAGGCUUUGGCUGCAUGGCAACAUCAGGAGGCAUCUGCCCUGGAAACAUAUUAAUCAGGGGAGCAAAUUCUGGAUCUUGUCGAAAUCCCAUCUUGGCAGCCAGCUCCUGUGCACGUUUUACGGCUUCAUAUUUUUGCGUUGUAAGCCCAGUGAGAUGAGGUAAGCCACUUGGUGGUGCGUUAGCAGAAGCAGAAGCAACAGCCGGUAAAGUAGUAGUGCUUGGAUUUAGUCCAGUAGAAACACCUGGUGCAGUUGCUGAAGCAGCAGGCGUUGACAUUAUCCCUUUACUGGAGGGUGGGACUUUAAC